RNAcentral lists this ribosomal RNA (253 nucleotides) under uncultured prokaryote. RNAcentral's name for it is "partial 16S ribosomal RNA". It matches the Rfam family "Bacterial small subunit ribosomal RNA", at positions 525 to 777 of the family's 1533-position model. The record is from RNAcentral.
ACGAACCGUGCGAACGUUGUUCGGAAUCACUGGGCUUAAAGGGCGCGUAGGCGGGCUGUCAAGUCUGGGGUGAAAUCCCACGGCUCACCCGUGGAACUGCUGGGUAUACUGCGAGUCUUGAGCCACUUAGGGGCUGUCGGAACAGGCGGUGGAGCGGUGAAAUGCGUAGAUAUCGCCUGGAACGCCAAAGGUGAAAACAGACAGCUGGGAGUGUGCUGACGCUGAGACACGAAAGCCAGGGGAGCGAACGGGA